AAGUAAGUGAUUAAAAAAAUCAUAAAUCCCGCUCCUAUAUUGGUGUAAAACUGUUCGCCGUUAAUCUGGUAGUGCAACAGAUUUACUGCUAGUAGUCUCUGCUACUAGCAGUAUUUGUCUGUUUCUUCCAUUUUCCCUCCUACCGCUUACAAGCAACGUGUCAUCUUUCCCAUAUUUCUAUUUUCCUCCCCCCACCGAUGGCCGCUUCGUUCUUUCUUUCUUCAAUUCAACAAUCAUCCACUCCUCUCUCUAAACCCUAACCUCGUUUACUUCUCCCACAAUGGUCUGUACUCACAAAUCCUCCGGUUUAAAUUGGCUCGACCGGCUCCGAUUGUCUAAAGGCUUCUCCCUUCCCGAACACAACAAUAUCGACCAAUUCCUAGCUCAACACACUCCUGGCGGACCUGAUUCUCUUUCUAAUAAUAGUAAUGCCGGUUCAGAAUCCAGCUCCGAUCCGGUUCCGGUUCGGACCGUAAACGAACCGGUCCUGCGUAACGAUCAAGCUCCGGCAGCACCGAAUAACACUGGAGAGAAAGAGGAAAUGUGUAAUGUAGUUACUAAUGUUCUAUCCGACCUGUUUUGUAUGGGGGAAUCAGUUAAAUUCUCUAAGGUGAAUGGGAAAAAGGCCUCACGCAAACAGAAGAACCCUAAGUAUUUUGCAUCAUCGGGAAUUAACAACAAUGCUGAGGGUGGUAAGAGGAAAGAAGAAGCGGCAUCGGUCGAGAAAUGUCCGGUGGGAGUAAAGGAUUCUUCUCAGGUCAAGGUAUUAGAGCAGAGGGAUGAUUUGAACUUGGUGGAAGAAGAGGAGGAUAAGUCACAAGAUAAUCUGAUGGGAUUUUCAAGGACAGAAGUAACGGUGAUAGAUACGAGCUUUGCACCGUGGAAAUUCGAGAAAUUGCUUUUCAGAAAGAAGAAUGUAUGGAAGGUUCGUGAUAGAAAAGGUAAGUCGAUGAAUUUUGGGAAGAAGAAGAGGAAAGCAACGAAUGAUGACGAUGGUGGCAAGAAGAAACAGAAGGUUAUAAUAAGCGGAGAGGAUGGUCAUGCUGCAAAUGGGGGUGUAUGCAAGUAUUCAGUCAACGAAAGGUCUGCGGUUCGGACCUGGAUGGCUGGACAUGUUCCUUUUGUAGAUGAGGUGCAAAAAUAUUAAAACAACAAAUGAAGCUGCUGAGCUUUCGACCUCACGGCAUCUAGUAGAAAAUUGAGGCGCCUGACCAAAUGAGCCGUGCAUAGCUCUUGGUGUCGAGCAGUUCAUUUUACUGAAUUUAUAAGCUUCAGUUGAAUGAUAAAUUGGAAGAAUCUUCUAAAAGGACAUCUGAUUCUGUUGGCCAGGCUUCCAAAAAGAAACACGGUUACUUAAAAUUAAAGAAGGCAUCUUCAUCAGUUGUUCUAAUUAAGAACAUUCCUCCACCAAGUAAGAAAAAUGGAACAGGCAUUGCUAAGAAUUUUCUGAAGCCAUUUGAUCGACAGUGUCAGCUUAAUAAUCAACCAAACACAGUUGUCUGACUGCAAAUUCAUCUGCAUUUUCCAUCUUUGGAGUAGUGAAGCAUGAUAUUUUCCAGAAACAAAUAAUCCCACUAUAUGGGGUGUAGAGUGUAGCAGGAAGAAUUGUAUAAAUACCAAUGUGCAGAGAAUUAAAAUUGUGUAGUUCGUUGUUGAUGUAACACACUGUUUUGCUUAUCAGGAUGCAAAUAUUCAAGCUUUUAUGAUAAUAUCUUUGUUGCUCAAA
Molecule: RNA transcript, 1726 nt
Organism: Capsicum annuum
Lineage: Eukaryota; Viridiplantae; Streptophyta; Magnoliopsida; Solanales; Solanaceae
Exons: 4
Source: RefSeq, a predicted model, not a curated record